Molecule: unclassified non-coding RNA, 1024 nt
Filed under: Caenorhabditis elegans
Lineage: Eukaryota; Metazoa; Nematoda; Chromadorea; Rhabditida; Rhabditidae
Description: Non-coding transcript of protein-coding gene W04A8.4b
Source: RNAcentral
AUAUAUUCAUUCUAUACAUCAGCUGGCGAGUGAGAGGUGACCCAUCUCCUCUCUCUCCAUCCGGCCUAUUUAAUCAAUAAAUACAUGUAUUCAAACACUAGUUUAACAAUCAUAAACAGAUAAUGAGGUACCAUUAUCUUCCGUUUAUAACGCUAAUUUUGGAUACGAUUUUUUAUCCGAGGAAGACGAGAAAUUUUUUUCGUUCGAGAAUUACCACAAUCUACCUGAGAAGGCACAAAUAUUUAUCUCUGCUUUGGAGGAACGCGAAGAGAAGAACAAGAAGUUCACAUAUGCGGCUCUAUGUGAGUAUUUUUUGUGGGGGCUUUCAGGGGUUUUCAAUUUUGGAAACUGUUUAGCACCCCUAGUAGCCCUACUCGUAAGACUCACUCUUGCGGAUUUAUUCCCUCACACUGGUUCGAUCGAACAAGACUUCAUCCUCCUCCUAACCGAUCAGAAAAACAGAUAUGAUAAAAAAUGUUGGCUUGCUCGUCGCUGCCUCGAUUUCGACGAAUGUGUUCAGUAUGGUCAGCUCAUCUACUUUGGGAUCUACUCUUUAGAAAAUAACCACAAAACCGCCCUCGUCACAAUUUUCGAUCCCGAAUGCUGAAAAAUUGCCAUUGUGAGAAUACAUAAAAUGAAGAGCGCAUCUGUCAAAAAACUAAAAAACUUUCUGAGAAAAUUAUCAUAUCAGAGAGACAUGGUCUCCUAUGGUAAAGAAGAUUUUUUGGCGGACAUCGAGCACAAAGACAUGCAAUCAAAAUUCGUUCGCACGAACGGAACGAGAAGUCUCCUCAGUCUAAAAGCUGAAGCAACGUAUUGGACAGGAUUGGACCUCCACAAGGGCGAGACUAUGUCCGAUUGGACGAACACUCAUCUACGUGGAGACCAACUGAGAUAUGCUAUCAUGGACACAAUCGUUAUGCAUCUCAUUAUAAAGCAGAGGCUAAGAAAUAUUCAUAAGAACGAUCCACGACUGUUCCAGUACGUAUUCGAGAAUGGUCAUCCUCUACCCUACAACCGAUGA